Long non-coding RNA from Grus americana (Whooping crane), 221 nucleotides. RefSeq lists it as uncharacterized. The transcript is spliced from 3 exons. NCBI's taxonomy places the organism in Eukaryota, Metazoa, Chordata, Aves, Gruiformes, Gruidae. The record is from RefSeq and is a predicted model, not a curated record.
GGCGGAGCCAGGGCUGAAGGGGGCGGAGCCAGGGCUGAAGGGGCGGAGCCAGCACCCAAAGGGGUUGGGUCUGGGGGGGCGGAGCCAGGGCCCAAAGGGGGCGGAGCCAGGGCCGAAGGGGGGCCCGAAGGGGGCGGAGCCAGGGCCCGAAGGGGGCAGUCCCAGGGCCCGAAGGGGGCGGAGCCAGGGCCCAAAGGGGGCGGAGCCAGGGCUGAAGGGGG